GACGAACGCUGGCGGCGUGCUUAACACAUGCAAGUCGAGCGAUGAAGCACCUUCGGGUGUGAAUUAGCGGCGAACGGGUGAGGAACACGUGAGAAAUCUGCCUUCAACUCUGGGAUAACUCCGAGAAAACGGGGCUAAUACCGGAUAUGAAACCUGCGGGCCUCCGCGGGGUUGGCAAGUUUUUCGGUUGAAGAUGAUCUCGCGGCCUAUCAGCCUGUUGGUGAGGUAAUGGCUCACCAAGGCGACGACGGGUAGCCGGCCUGAGAGGGCGACCGGCCACACUGGGACUGAGACACGGCCCAGACUCCAACGGGGGGCAGCAGUGGGGAAUAUUGGGCAAUGGAGGAAACUCUGACCCAGCGACGCCGCGUGCGGGAUGAAGGCCUUCGGGUUGUAAACCGCUUUCAGCAGGGAAGAAGCGAAAGUGACGGUACCUACAGAAGAAGCACCGGCUAGCUAUGUGCCAGCAGCCGCGGUAA
This 479-nucleotide ribosomal RNA is filed under the name uncultured bacterium. RNAcentral's name for it is "partial 16S ribosomal RNA". It matches the Rfam family "Bacterial small subunit ribosomal RNA", at positions 28 to 523 of the family's 1533-position model. The record is from RNAcentral.